CCUACGGGUGGCAGCAGUGGGGGAUAUUGCACAAUGGGGGGAACCCUGAUGCAGCGACGCCGCGUGGGUGAAGGAGUGCUUCGGCAUGUAAAGCCCUAUCGGCAGGGAAGAAGCAAGACGGUACCUGAAUAAGAACCCCCGGCUAACUACGUGCCAGCAGCCGCGGGAAUACGUAGGGGGCGAGCGUUAUCCGGAUUCACUGGGUGUAAAGGGAGCGGAGACGGCCAUGCAAGGUAGGGGUGAAAGCCCGGGGCCCAACCCCGGGACUGCCUUUGGGACUGCAUGGCUGGAGUGCGGGAGGGGCGGGCGGAAUUCCAGGUGUAGCGGUGAAAUGCGGAGAUAUCAGGAGGAACACCGGCGGCGAAGGCGGCCUGCUGGUCUGCGACUGACGUUGAGGCUCGAAAGCGUGGGGAGCGAACAGGAUUAGAUACCCGUGUAGUC
This 441-nucleotide ribosomal RNA is filed under the name uncultured bacterium. RNAcentral's name for it is "partial 16S ribosomal RNA". It matches the Rfam family "Bacterial small subunit ribosomal RNA", at positions 338 to 795 of the family's 1533-position model. The record is from RNAcentral.